AGUGAACGCUGGCGGUAGGCCUAACACAUGCAAGUCGAACGGAAGCACAGUAAGAGCUUGCUCUUACGGGUGGCGAGUGGCGGACGGGUGAGGAAUACAUCGGAAUCUACUUUUUCGUGGGGGAUAACGUAGGGAAACUUACGCUAAUACCGCAUACGACCUACGGGUGAAAGCAGGGGAUCUUCGGACCUUGCGCGAUUGAAUGAGCCGAUGUCGGAUUAGCUAGUUGGCGGGGUAAAGGCCCACCAAGGCGACGAUCCGUAGCUGGUCUGAGAGGAUGGUCGGCCACACUGGAACGUAGACACGGUCCAGAGUCCUACGGGAGGCAGCAGUGGGGAAUAUUGGACAAUGGGCGCAAACCUGAUCCAGCCAUACCGCGUGGGUGAAGGAGGCCUUCGGGUUGUAAAGCCCUUUUGUUGGGAAAGAACAGCAGCAGGUUAAUACCCCGCUGUUCUGACGGUACCGAAAGAAUAAGCACCGGCUAACUUCGUG
RNAcentral lists this ribosomal RNA (492 nucleotides) under uncultured bacterium. RNAcentral describes it as "partial 16S ribosomal RNA". It matches the Rfam family "Bacterial small subunit ribosomal RNA", at positions 29 to 507 of the family's 1533-position model. The record is from RNAcentral.